RNAcentral lists this ribosomal RNA (252 nucleotides) under uncultured bacterium. RNAcentral's name for it is "partial 16S ribosomal RNA". It matches the Rfam family "Bacterial small subunit ribosomal RNA", at positions 524 to 776 of the family's 1533-position model. The record is from RNAcentral.
UACGUAGGGCGCAAGCGUUGUCCGGAAUUAUUGGGCGUAAGAGCUCGUAGGCGGUUUGUCGCGUCUGCUGUGAAAACCUAAGGCUCAACCUUGGGCUUGCAGUGGGUACGGGCAGACUAGAGUGCGGUAGGGGUGACUGGAAUUCCUGGUGUAGCGGUGGAAUGCGCAGAUAUCAGGAGGAACACCGAUGGCGAAGGCAGGUCACUGGGCCGCAACUGACGCUGAGGAGCGAAAGCGUGGGGAGCGAACAGG